GAUGAAGAACGUAGCGAAAUGCGAUACGUAAUGUGAAUUGCAGAAUUCAGUGAAUCAUCGAAUCUUUGAACGCACAUUGCGCCCGCCAGCACUCUGGCGGGCAUGCCUGUUCGAGCGUCAUUUCAACCAUCAAGCCCCAGGCUUGCGUUGGAGCCCUGCGGCUGCCGCAGCCUCCUAAAAGCAGUGGCGGGCUCGCUAUCACACCGAGUGCAGUAGAUUACUCUUCGCUCAGGGCGUGCAGCGGGUUCCGGCCGUUAAAAAGCCUUUUUUACCCAAGGUUGACCUCGGAUCAGGUAGGAAGACCCGCUGAACUUAAGCAUAUCAAUAAGCGGAGGA
RNAcentral lists this unclassified non-coding RNA (336 nucleotides) under soil metagenome. RNAcentral describes it as "partial contains 5.8S ribosomal RNA, internal transcribed spacer 2, and large subunit ribosomal RNA". The stretch from base 1 to 120 matches the Rfam family "5.8S ribosomal RNA", at positions 35 to 154 of the family's 154-position model. The record is from RNAcentral.